RNAcentral lists this non-coding RNA (119 nucleotides) under Arthrobacter alpinus. RNAcentral describes it as "TPP sequence". It matches the Rfam family "TPP riboswitch aptamer (THI element)". From Rfam's summary of the family: Vitamin B(1) in its active form thiamin pyrophosphate (TPP) is an essential coenzyme that is synthesised by coupling of pyrimidine and thiazole moieties in bacteria. The previously detected thiamin-regulatory element, thi box was extended, resulting in a new, highly conserved RNA secondary structure, the THI element, which is widely distributed in eubacteria and also occurs in some archaea. Analysis of operon structures identified a large number of new candidate thiamin-regulated genes, mostly transporters, in various prokaryotic organisms. Lineage: Bacteria; Bacillati; Actinomycetota; Actinomycetes; Micrococcales; Micrococcaceae. The record is from Rfam by way of RNAcentral.
UCAACACGACAGGGGAGCGUCUACCCGCUAAUGGGUACUGGCGCUGAGAGUGCGGUUCGCCGCAGACCCUCGAACCUGCUCCGGUUAGUACCGGCGAAGGGAGUCGAGUUCUCUUCGGU